RNAcentral lists this ribosomal RNA (257 nucleotides) under uncultured bacterium. Its description in RNAcentral is "partial 16S ribosomal RNA". It matches the Rfam family "Bacterial small subunit ribosomal RNA", at positions 1244 to 1500 of the family's 1533-position model. The record is from RNAcentral.
GGGAAGGCAAGACCGCGAGGUGGAGCAAAUCCCUAAAAGCCAUCCCAGUUCGGAUUGCAGGCUGCAACCCGCCUGUAUGAAGUUGGAAUCGCUAGUAAUCGCGGAUCAGCAUGCCGCGGUGAAUACGUUCCCGGGCCUUGUACACACCGCCCGUCACACCAUGAGAGUCGGGAACACCCGAAGUCCGUAGCCUAACCGCAAGGGGGGCGCGGCCGAAGGUGGGUUCGAUAAUUGGGGUGAAGUCGUAACAAGGUAAC